RNAcentral lists this ribosomal RNA (467 nucleotides) under uncultured bacterium. RNAcentral's name for it is "partial 16S ribosomal RNA". It matches the Rfam family "Bacterial small subunit ribosomal RNA", at positions 28 to 507 of the family's 1533-position model. The record is from RNAcentral.
GAUGAACGCUGGCGGCGCGCCUAACACAUGCAAGUCGAACGAUUAAAGCACCUUCGGGUGUGUAUAAAGUGGCGAACGGCUGAGUAACACGUGGGCAACCUGCCCCUUUCAUUGGGAUAGCCACGGGAAACCGUGGAUAAUACCGAAUACUUCGAGACUUCCGCAUGGAAGACUCGAGAAAGCUCCGGCGGAGAGGGAUGGGCGCGCGGCCUGUUAGCUUGUUGGUGGGGUAACGGCCUACCAAGGCAAUGAUGGGUAGCUGGGUUGAGAGACCGACCAGCCAGAUUGGGACUGAGACACGGCCCAGACUCCUACGGGAGGCAGCAGUGGGGAAUCUUGCACAAUGGGCGAAAGCCUGAUGCAGCGACGCCGCGUGCGGGAUGAAGGCCUUCGGGUUGUAAACCGCUUUCAGCAGGGACGAGGCGAAAGUGACGGUACCUGCAGAAGAAGCCCCGGCUAACUACGUG